This 253-nucleotide ribosomal RNA is filed under the name uncultured bacterium. RNAcentral describes it as "partial 16S ribosomal RNA". It matches the Rfam family "Bacterial small subunit ribosomal RNA", at positions 524 to 776 of the family's 1533-position model. The record is from RNAcentral.
UACAGAGGGUGCGAGCGUUAAUCGGAAUUACUGGGCGUAAAGCGUGCGUAGACGGUUAUGUAAGUCGGGUGUGAAAGCCCCGGGCUCAACCUGGGAAUUGCAUUCGAGACUGCAUAGCUAGGAUGCGGAAGAGGGAAGUGGAAUUUCCGGUGUAGCGGUGAAAUGCGUAGAUAUCGGGAGGAACACCAGUGGCGAAGGCGACUACCUGGCCUGUUCUUGACGCUGAGGCGCGAAAGCUAGGGGAGCAAACGGG